Molecule: long non-coding RNA, 3702 nt
Organism: Cyprinus carpio (common carp)
Lineage: Eukaryota; Metazoa; Chordata; Actinopteri; Cypriniformes; Cyprinidae
Exons: 4
Source: RefSeq, a predicted model, not a curated record
UGUGUGUGUGUGCGCACAAACAUAUAAUGUAAACAUUUUCAGUUUCUCUAUAUUUCCAGUUCAGUAACCUGUGACUGUUUCGUGCAGUGCUGUUGAAAUGUGCUACAAAUUAUCUCCGUCGUGCUGUUCAACUGAAAGCGCUGAAAUGCAGCACCCGAGCAAACAUGAAGCCAGGUAUUAAAAUGUUUUGGUUUUGUUACUCUGCACCAACAUGCAUUAAUGUUUAAAACAGUGGGUUACAUCAGCUUAAAAUCAUUAACCAACUGGACUUUAAAGUGUAAGGCUGUCAUAAAGCACAGGAUUUAGCAUGUAGUAGUCAGAGCGUCUGUCUCCAAGUGCUCUAUGGAGCAUUAUUCGGCUGCAGAGUCACGAUAUUAAGAACAGCUCUGGUAUAGCAGCAGGUAUGAAGGGUUAAAAUAUGAAUGCACUGUAAUUCUUUUAAUUGCAGUAUAUUGGUCCAUAAAUGCAUUGUCUGAAUUUGCAGUAUUCACUUUCUGUAAACAAAUUAAUAGAAAUUGACCAUUUAAAUCAUUUAUGCCAGAACUUUCUGCAUGUAGUGCACAGCCUCAUAAAAAAACAGUUGUGACUACUGCAUUAUGACACUGUGAACCUUUCAGUGUUCACUUUCAGACUUUGGCAUCUAGAUGACUUUCUCUAAAAACCCUAAAGGAAUGUAUCUAGUGCAAUUUUGAACCAACUCUAAAUAAAUAAAACAUGAGUCAUGUAAGUGUCAAAUAUAAUUGUGCAGUAUAAACUGAAAGCUGAAACUUAGUUCCAGUAGGAUCUUUUUAUGGGACUCUUGAAGACUAGGAUUGGAUCAAAAUUUUUGAUACUAUUCAGGACAUUUUUUACAUACCAAAUUGUAUAACCUUAAUCUGCAAAUCAUUGUUAAGGAUUCUGUUUAAGUCUGCAAGCAUACCACGGAGACAACUGCAGGAUCUCUCAGAGAAUAUUACUGUAUGUUUACUGACAGGAUAUCAACAGGCUUUGACUUUGAGGCGUUUUGCCGAGCUAACAGCAGUCCCCUACCGCUGCUGUACAGGAGCAAAUGUAGAGAAUGGAGCUGCAGCCCCCUCGCCACAGGAUCUGACAUCAGGACAUGGUCACAUUUUACCUCGGCUGUAGUUUUGGCUUUCGAAGCAGCCUUGAUGGCCGCUGCGGGUUCAAGUGAGAAAUGUGGAACAGGGUAAAAAUGUCAGCAUGUACAAGACCUCAGUAGCUUGUAUUGGAGCAGGUCAGUUUCACUGUCCAAUGGUGGUGAGCAUGAGACCCGUACCAGAAGACAAGCUGGACGCUGCGGCUCAAACACACAUGUGAUCCCACUGGCACAUGGAGGCCCUGUCCAUAUUGGACAGCCUAGUUCAAGAGGCAUCCAGGCCCUGUUCUUGCAGGAUGAGCUCCUAAAGGCCUGUCUCUCACUGUCCCAUUCCUGCUGUUCUCAUCACCACUGGUUUCCCCACACACUACAUGCACAACCCCCCUGAAGAGACUGAUGGCCCGUCUGGGUUCAUCGCCAUGGCAGCUAUACUUCAAGCACUCUGCAAAGAGGUGGUCAUCGUGACGGAUGGGCAUGCUUUGGAGAUGAAUCAGCACAUCAUGCUGAUUUAGUGUUUUGGAGAUAUACUUGGGUUAUGCUAACCCGAUGUGAUAAAGCGACACAUUACUGUUUUAUUGUAUGUUAUUAAAUUUGUUUGGGUAUAAUUUGUGUUGAUUUGUAACAGGUGUGAUAAAGACUGCAGUGCCAAUAAUAAGUUACCAGAGUAAUAGCCCUGACUCAGCACCUCACUUCCUGUGCCGUGAUGGAGAUCCCACUACUCCCAGGUGUAAUUUCAUCCACUGCUUUCUCUUGUGCUGCAUCCCAAUUCACCCACAGUAUACCCUAAUAGCAUGCACUCUUUUUGUGAAGAAAAAACAUACGUUUGAGUAUGUAGCAGAAUAAUAGGCAAGUUUUGGGACAUACUACUUUGUCAUAAUUGCAACUUUAACAGACACUAGUUACGUGCAUCCCGUCACCAUUUAAACUGCCCUGUCAAUCAUGAUGUCACAGUUAACAUCCUUCACAAUUUCACUUCAUUUCCUAUCGUAUUAGAGAAAAUAAGGCAUGUUGAUCUGCCAGUUGUGUGUCUUUAAUGCCGUGAACUCUCCUCAUGUGUUUGCAUAAUGAUGCAUUUAAAAGUUAAUGACCAAAUUAAUCUUUAUAAAAUUUUUGAUUUAUUGUUGUAGAUGAGAUAUAAUGCAGAUAACAUUUAAUAUAGUUUUUUUUUUCCCUCAGGUGAGAUAUUAUUAAUUACGAAAACCCCUUUAUCUAAACCUCUCUACUUAAUUGUGUCACGCAUAUCUGCCAUGUUUGUAGUUUUGUAACACUUUAUAUUCAUGUUUGUAGUUCUGAUCGAAUCUGCGUCCAGCAAUAUUAGCCGUUAAGAGUCUGCAUGGAUCUGCACUUCAAUUAACAGAAUUUUGCUUUUCUUUAAAGAUAAUGGAUAAAUAUAUUAGUACAAUAUUGUCACAAAUGCUGUGGAUUGAGCUUAACUUAUACUGAAUCUGAAUCAUUCCUUUUAUUCAAAGAAACAGAUGUUAAAAUUACUGUUAAUAUUACUUUGUUAAUUCGUCGCACAACUAGAAAUGCAAGUUGAUUGACACUGCAGGUCAUCCAUGUGUUUUAUGCAUUCAAAAAAUGUACACAUUGUGCCAUAUUAUACAUACUAGACUGCAGAAAGAAGCCUAGUAUAUGCUAUUCCAAACACAGCCCAUGAAAUUUUUGUUAUGUAUACUAUAAAGGUUUGACCACUUGGUGGCGCCGGGCUGCCGAUGGGAACUAAUACAACAUGGCCAGCACUAUUGCAGGCAUCACUACCAGCUUCAGUGCUCCAAACCACUGUGAUUAACUUACACUAUAAAAUGUUACUGUGUAAUAAAAUGGAAGUAGUUUUUGAUUUGACUAUGGUUGCAUCCAAACCCUCUCUGAUGUAGGGUUAAAAGAGUUCUCUCUUUUAAGGAUCACAAUGCUUGAAUUGCCAACUUUGUUCCCAAUUGAUGAUAAGUUCGGUUGGCACCAGGGAAUGGUUUAAUGAGAUCUUUCACCCCUUUGGAACAGGAUUAAUUGUAUGUGUGUGUGUGUACAGGGAUCAGGGUUGGAGGUAAUGAGCUUGGUAUGGGCAAAGUCAAAGCAGCAGUUAAAGCAUACAUGUCUAAUGGUAAUCUGAUUGCAUGCAACGUGGCUGCUGAUUUUGCAAUCACAGCAGGUAAGCUCACCUCACAAAGAGACCGCAUAAAGUGCAUUCAUGCUGGAAAAAAAGGACGCUGUAACAAAACACACAGCCUAUGUGGUCACACACAGUGGUUCUAAGUUUCAAAUCAAACCUACUUGUUCCUUAUUAAGGGGGCUAAAGAAAUAAUGUUAUUAUUAUAACGAUAUCAUAGGAAGUGCAUCAGAGAUGUUGACAUAGUGUUGCCUAGUGUCUGUCUGGUUUAAAUAUUUAACAUUUAAUCAACAUUUAGGCGUGUUUAAGAGUGAAAAUAUUGAGAAUAAUAAUAAGAAUAUCUUGAAUUCUACUUUUUGAAUAGUAGAUAAUUUAGAUACUAUAUUUCAGAUUAAAAACAAGUUAAGCUGUAUUAAUUAACAAACAUUUUUUUAUUAAAAAACAAAACCAAAUUGAGGUUAAGACUAUUUAGUAUGGUACACAAGAGCAUGUUGCAUUUACA